RNAcentral lists this unclassified non-coding RNA (240 nucleotides) under soil metagenome. Its description in RNAcentral is "partial contains 5.8S ribosomal RNA, internal transcribed spacer 2, and large subunit ribosomal RNA". The record is from RNAcentral.
AACGCACGAGACCUGCGGACCUGCGGAAGGAUCAUUACUGAGUGUAUUUUUUCUGAAUUGAAAGAUUCAUGAAAAGAAACCUCCCACCCUUUGUUUAAAAGACCUGUUGCUUCGGCAAGACUGAUAUUCUUAAUUGAAUAUCUGUCGACUAAAAUUCAAUUUUUAGUGGGCUAGUUUUUUGCUUGCCGAAGUUUUUUAACAACUCUUUUUUUUGAAUAUUUGAUUUGAAAAAACAAAAAA